CCUACGGGAGGCAGCAGUGGGGAAUUUUGGACAAUGGGCGCAAGCCUGAUCCAGCAAUGCCGCGUGCAGGAUGAAGGCCUUCGGGUUGUAAACUGCUUUUGUACGGAACGAAACGGUUCUCUUUAAUAAAGGGGGCUAAUGACGGUACCGUAAGAAUAAGCACCGGCUAACUACGUGCCAGCAGCCGCGGUAAUACGUAGGGUGCGAGCGUUAAUCGGAAUUACUGGGCGUAAAGCGUGCGCAGGCGGUUUUGUAAGACAGAUGUGAAAUCCCCGGGCUCAACCUGGGACCUGCAUUUGUGACUGCAAGGCUAGAGUACGGUAGAGGGGGAUGGAAUUCCGCGUGUAGCAGUGAAAUGCGUAGAUAUGCGGAGGAACACCGAUGGCGAAGGCAAUCCCCUGGACCUGUACUGACGCUCAUGCACGAAAGCGUGGGGAGCAAACAGGGAUUAGAUACCCUGGUAGUCCACGCCCUAAACGAUGUCAACUGGUUGUUGGGUAUUUACUUACUCAGUAACGAAGCUAACGCGUGAAGUUGACCGCCUGGGGAGUACGGCCCGCAAGGUUGAAACUCAAAGGAAUUGACGG
RNAcentral lists this ribosomal RNA (587 nucleotides) under uncultured bacterium. RNAcentral describes it as "bacterial SSU rRNA". It matches the Rfam family "Bacterial small subunit ribosomal RNA", at positions 338 to 916 of the family's 1533-position model. The record is from RNAcentral.